Molecule: ribosomal RNA, 880 nt
Filed under: uncultured bacterium
Lineage: Bacteria
Description: bacterial SSU rRNA
Rfam family: Bacterial small subunit ribosomal RNA
Source: RNAcentral
CUCAGGAUGAACGCUAGCGGGAGGCUUAACACAUGCAAGUCGAGGGGCAGCACGAGGUAGCAAUACUUUGGUGGCGACCGGCGCACGGGUGAGUAACACGUAUGCAACCUACCCUGUACAGGGGGAUAACCCGGAGAAAUUCGGACUAAUACCCCAUGAUGAUAUUAAGAGGCAUCUUUUGAUAUUUAAAGUUUCGGCGGUACGGGAUGGGCAUGCGGAACAUUAGCUAGUUGGCAGGGUAACGGCCUACCAAGGCUACGAUGUUUAGGGGACCUGAGAGGGUGAUCCCCCACACUGGUACUGAGACACGGACCAGACUCCUACGGGAGGCAGCAGUGAGGAAUAUUGGUCAAUGGGCGCAAGCCUGAACCAGCCAUCCCGCGUGCAGGAAGACGGCGCUAUGCGUUGUAAACUGCUUUUCCAGGGGGUGAAACUCUCGUACGCGUACGGGAUUGACGGUACCCUGGGAAUAAGCAUCGGCUAACUCCGUGCCAGCAGCCGCGGUAAUACGGAGGAUGCGAGCGUUAUCCGGAUUUAUUGGGUUUAAAGGGUGCGUAGGCGGAUCAAUAAGUCAGAGGUGAAACCCUGCAGCUUAACUGUAGACUUGCCUUUGAUACUGUUAGUCUUGAGUGUGGUCAAGGUAGGCGGAAUGUGUAAUGUAGCGGUGAAAUGCUUAGAUAUUACACAGAACACCGAUUGCGAAGGCAGCUUGCUGGACCAUUACUGACGCUGAUGCACGAAAGCGUGGGGAUCGAACAGGAUUAGAUACCCUGGUAGUCCACGCCGUAAACGAUGAUCACUCGCUGUUAGCGAUACACAGUUAGCGGCUAAGCAAAAGCAUUAAGUGAUCCACCUGGGGAGUACGGCCGCAAGGCUGAAA